This is a non-coding RNA of Onychostoma macrolepis, 405 nucleotides long. The record is from the annotation of a RefSeq genome assembly. NCBI's taxonomy places the organism in Eukaryota, Metazoa, Chordata, Actinopteri, Cypriniformes, Cyprinidae.
AUCAUCACACAAGACAAAACAACUACAAUGAACAACAUCAUCAUCCUCAUCUGGACACUCACACUGUUUGCUCGAGAGUGUAGAGGACAGAUCACUGUAACUCAGAGUCCAUCAUUAAUAACAGCAGCUCAAGGACAAGAAGCCAGAAUAAACUGUAAAACCAGCAGUAGAAUGUAUGUGUCACGGAUCGGUCAGGCCCUUCCCUGUUUAGCCUGGUACUUACAGAAACCUGGAGAAGCUCCUAAACUCCUCAUAUAUUAUGCAACAAGCCGUUACACUGGAACUCCAUCUGGAUUCAGUGGCAGUGGAUCUAACAGUGAUUUCACUCUGACCAUCAGUGGAGUCCAGACUGAAGAUACAGGAGAUUAUUACUGUCAGAGUUUACACUAUAUCAGUAGUAGCUGA